Motacilla alba alba is the source of this 1281-nucleotide long non-coding RNA. RefSeq lists it as uncharacterized. The transcript is spliced from 2 exons. The record is from RefSeq and is a predicted model, not a curated record. Lineage: Eukaryota; Metazoa; Chordata; Aves; Passeriformes; Motacillidae.
UUUAGAUAUCUAUUUCUUAUUACAUUAUGAAGAAGGAAAAACAAUAGUUGUCGUACAGACAUUCUAAGGGUAUUUUUGUAUUCACAUAAAAGAAUUAUUCUGAAAUUCAAGUGAUUGUUCAAAACCCCUCUCCUGAAGGUAGUGUUCUGCUAAACUACUAUAAAUCAAUUACUGAUUUGUUAAUUAUUAUCAGCAACAAGGCCUACACUGGAGAAGGCUCCUGUCAGGACCUGUGGACUGUGAAGAGAGGAGCCCAUGCUGAAACAGGUUUGCUGAAAGGACUUGUGACCCCCAUGGAACAGACCCACUCUGGAACAGCUAAAGAAAAACUGCAGCCUAUGGGAAGGACUCACAUUGGAGAAGCUUGUGAAGAACUGUCUCCCGUGGAAGAGACCCCACACUGGAGCAGGGGAAAAGUGUGAGGCAACCUCUCAUGAGGAGGAAGGAUCAGCAGAGAGAACUGAAUCACAGAAUAACAAAGGAUGGAAUGGAGGAACCUCAGAAUGAUUACUUAUCCAACUCUUCACUAAAAUCAGGGUCAAUUUUGGUUAGGUCUCAUAAUUGUUAUUAAUGUAUCCAACUUCAAAAGAAGAAGAAGAAGAAGAAGAAGAAGAAGAAGAAGAAGAAGCAUGAAAUCCAAAACUGAGCACUUGAAAACCUAGGCAAUAUAUUUCCAUUUAUUGAAAAUAAGUAUUAAUGAAGGCAUUUCUGUUCCACCUGCAAUGUACAGCUUUAACACAUGAGCACUGAAACACAAACAAAGCGGAUGCAAAAUAAGAUUAAACUCAAAGAGAAAUAUUUAGUUUUGUUAAAAGAUGGAGAAUAUGUUCUAAAGCCUAACAACUGAACAUUGUGGCAGGAACAGUGUAGACAAGAUGACUUUUAAUUUUACUUCCACUGUGUUGCCAGCUUGAAGACUUUUAUAAUUCAGAUGCCAGUUGAAGCACAAUAAAUUUUAUGACAGUGUAUAUAAAAUAUGCCUAUUGUGAUUGUACCAUAAUAUCAAUGAAUCUUAAUGUUUCCAGUUGUAGACAACAGUUUACAGAAAACAGCACAUGACAUGUUUCUUGCAGCCUUAAAAAGCUUUCCAGCAGCUAUCCCCUGCCUUUACUUCCAAGCAAGGCCUGAAGAUCCAAGACUCCCAAAGGAAAUGGAAACUAUCUGGGGAAUCUCAUAUCACCUUAUACCCAAUAGAAUACAAAGGAUCAAUUAAAUCACAUUUUUCUUAGCAAAUAAAAUACUUGCUAAUAUCAUUAAAUAGAAAUUUUAUCUACCAGAAAA